UGUUGGAGUCCAUUAUUAAGGAUGAGGUUUUAGGAUACGUGGAGACUAAUGAUAAAUUAAGUCAAAGCCGGCAUGAUUUCUGUAAAGGGAAAUCUUGCCUGACAAAUCUGUUAGAAUUCUUCAAGGAAGCAACAAACGGUGGACAAAGGAGAGGCAGUGGAUAUCAUUUACUUAGAUUUUCAGAAGGCAUUUGAAACGGUGUCUCACAUGAGGCUGCUUAACAAGGUAAAAUCCUAUGGUGUAACUGGAAAGAUACUGGCAUGGAUAGAGGAAUGGCUGAUGGGCAGGAGGCAGCGAGUGGGAGUAAAAGGGGCCUUUUCAGGUUGGCUGCCAGUGACUAGUGGUGUUCCUCAGGGGCAAGUAUUGGGACUGCUACUUUUCAUAUUGUCCGUCAGUAAUUUGGGUAGUGGAAUUGAUGGCUUUGUGGAAAAGUUUGUAGAUGAUACAAGGAUAGGUGGAGUUGUAGAUAGUGCUGAGGAAGCAAUGCAAUUGCAGCAGGACUUGGACAAAUUAGAAGAAUGGGUAAAAAAGUGGCAGAUGGCAUACAGUUUCAGGGAAUGUAUGAUAAUGCAUUUUGGUAACAGGAACAAUAGUGCAGACUAUUAUCUAAAUGGGGAGAAAAUUCAAACAUCAGAGGGACUGAGGAGUUCUUAGGCAAGGCUCCCAGAAGGUUAAUUCACAGGUUGUGUCUGUGAUAAGGUGAAUACAAUGUUGGCAUUUAUUUCCAGGGGAACAGAAUAUAAAAAUGUGGAAUAAUGCUGAAGCUUUAUAAGACACUAUCAGGCCACACUUGAAAUAUUGUCAGCAGUUUUUGGGUCCCAUAUCUCUGAAAGGAUGUGUUGUCAUUUGGAGAGUGUCCUGAGGAGGUUCAUGAGGAUGAUUCUGGGAAUGAAGGGGUUAACAUAUGAGGAAUGUCUGUUAGUUUGGGGCCUGUACUCACUGGAAUUUAGAAGGAUGUGUGGGGAUCUCAUUGAAACUUACCGAAUGUUGAAAGGAGCUGAUAGGGUGGAUGUGGAGAGGGUGUUUCCUAUGGUGGAGGUAUCCAGAACUGGAGGACACUGUCUCAAAAUUGAGGGGCAACCCUUUAGAACAGGAGUAAGGAGGAAUUUUUUUUUAAGGCAGAGAGUAGUGAAUCUGUGGAAUGUUCUGCUACAGACUGUGGUGGAGGCCAAGUCCGUGGGUGUAAUUAAAGUGGAAGUUGAUAGAUUCCUGAUUAGUUGGGGCAUUAAGGGAUAUGGUGAGAGGGCAAGUAUAUGGGGUUGAAUGGUAUCUGGGGUCAGUCAUGAUGAAAGGGUAGAUCAGACUGGAUGGGCUGAAUGGACUAAUUCUGCUCCUAUGUCUUUUGGCUCCACACACGAGUUACCAUUCUGAAAUUUCUGAGGACCUGCUUUGUCCUUUGCAAUACUCUUACAUAUCUGUAGAAUCCCUUGGGAUUCUUCUUCACCUUGUCUUCUAGCGUAAUUUCAUGCCUUCUUCUUGCCCUCUUGAUUUUUUUCUUAAGUGUUAAAAACAUAAAAAACCUACAGCACAAUGCAGAGCCUUCGGCCUACAACGCUGUGCCAAACAUGUACUUACUUUAGAAAUUACCUACAGUUAUCCAUAGCCCUCUAUUUUUCUAAGCUCUGUGUUAAAAGACCCUAUCGUAUCUGCCUCCACCACCAUUGCCAGCAGCCCAUUCCAUGCACUCACCACUCUCUGCGUAAAAAAAAAAAAAAAAAACAACAACAAUAACUUACCACUGACAUCUUCUCUGUACAUACUUCCAUACACCUUAAAAUUUUACCCUCUCGUGUGAGCCAUUUCAGCCCUAGGAAAACUGACUGUCCACACCAUUCUCUUGUGUUUCUUCUACUCCAUAAGUAUCUCAUUUGUUCCUACCUGCCUAUAUCUGCUAGGCACUUCUUAAUUAGGGCCUAAAUAUUUCUUAGAAACCAAGAUCCCCUAAAUCUGUGAUCUUUACCUUUUAUUCUGAUAGGCAAUACAAGCUUUGUACUCUCAAAAUUUCAUUUUUUGAAGGCCUCCAACUUACCAAGUACACCUUUGCCAAAAAAACAGCCUGUCCCAAUCCACGCUUGCCAGAUCCAUUAUGAUGCCAUCAAAAUUGACCUUUCUCCAAUUUAGAAUUCCAACCCGCAGACCAGACCUAUCUUUUUACAUAGUUACUUUGAAACUAAUGAUCACUAGAUGCAGUGUUCCCCAACACAUUCUUCCGUGCAGUAGCAGUUCAAGUAUCACACCAUCUCUGUCUAGGACUUCUAUGUACCGAUUAAGGAAACUUUCCUGGACAUAUUUAACUAUCUAGCUCAUCUAAUCCUUUUACUGUAUGUCCAAUACCAUUUGAACCUGGAUGAGUAUGCUGCAGUUGUUACUGAUUUCAUUAAAACCUGUGUGGAUGAGUGUGUGCCCACUAACACUUACUGUACAUUCCCAAACCAAAAACCGUGAAUGAACCAGGAGGUGCGUCAUCUGCUGAAGGCUAGAUCUAUGGCAUUCAAGACCUGAACCAGAAAACCAACUAUGAUUUGCAGAGGGCUAUUUCAAGGGUGAAGACAUAACUUUGAAUAAGGUUGGAGGCGACGUCGGAUGUACUGCAACUCUUGUAAAGUCUGCAAGACAUUUGUUGGAAGACAUUACUUCCAACAAAGUGAAACCCAAUAGCAUAAAUGGCAGCAAUGCUUCACUACCAGAUGAACUCAAUGCCUUCUAUGCCUGCUUUGAAAGGGAGAACACAACUACAGCUGUGAUGACCCCUAUGUUCUCUGUCUCAGAGGCCAAUGUUAGGUUGUCUUUAAAGAGAGUGAACCCUCAGAAGGCAGAAGGUCCCAAUGGAGUACCUGGUAAGGCUCUGAAAUCCUGUGCCAACCAACUAGCGGGAGUAUUUAAGACAUUUUCAACCUCUCAUUGCUAUGUGCGGAAGUUCCCACUUGCUUCAAAAAGGCAACAAUUAUACCAGUACCUAACAAGAAUAAUACGGACUGCCUUAAUGACUAUCGCCCAGUAGCAUUCACAUCAACAGUGAUAAAAUGCUUUGAGAGGUUGGUCAUGACUAGACUGAACUCCUGCCUCAACAAGGACCUGAACCCAUUGCAAUCUGCCUAUUGCCACAGUACUGUAGGUCAAUGGCAGACGCAAUCUCAAUGGCUCUCCACGUGGCUUUAGACCACCUGGACAACACAAACGCCUACAUCAGGUUGUUCAUCGACUAUAGCUCAGUAUUUAUUACCAUCAUUCCCUCAAUCCUGACUGAGCAGUUGCAGAACCUGGCCCUCUGUACCUCCCUCUCCAAUUGGAUCCUUGACUUCCUAACCAGAAGGCCAUAAUCUGUGCAGAUUGGUGAUAACAUAUCCUCCUCACGAUGAUCAACACUGGUGCACCUUGGGUGUGUGCUCAGCCAACUGCUCUACUCUAUAUACACAUGAUUGUGUGGCUAGGCAUAGCACAAAUACCAUCUAUAAAUUGCUGAUGAUACAACCACUGUUGGUAGAAUCUCAAGUGGUGACGAGGGCAUACAGAAGUGAGAUAUGCCAACUAGUGGAGUGGUGCCGCAGCAACAACCUGGCACUCAACAUCAGUAAGAUGAAAGAGCUGAUUGUGGACUUCAGAAAGGGUAAGACAAAGGAACACAUACUAUAGAGGUAUCAGAAGUGGAGAGAGUGAGCAGCUUCAAGUUCUUGGGUGUCAAGAUCUCUAAGGAUCUAACCUGGUCCCAACAUAUCGAUUUUAGUUAUAAAGAAGGCAAGACCAUGACUGUACCUCAUUAGGAGUUUGAGGAGAUUUGAUAUGUCAACAAAUACACUCAAAAACUUGUAUAGUUGUACCGUGGAGAGCAUUCUGACAGGCUGCAUCACUGGUAUGGAGGGGCUACUGCACAGGACCAAAAGAAGCUGCAGAAGGUUGUAAAUCUAGUCAGCUCCAUCCUGGGUACUAGCCUACAAAGUACCCAGGUCAUCUUUGGUGAGCAGUGUCUCAGAAAGGCAGCAUCCAUUAUUAAGGGCCUCCAGCACCCAGGGCAUGCCCUUUUCUCACUGUAGAAAAGGUGAGAAAUCAGGUAGGAGAUACAGAAGCCUGAAGGCACACACUCAGUGAUUCAGGAACAGCUUCUUCCCCUCUGCCAUCCGAUUCCUAAAUGAGGACAUUGAAUCCUUGGACACUACCUCACUUUUUUUUAAGUAUACAGUAUUCCUGUUUUUGCAUGUUUUUUAAUCUAUUCAAUAAAUGUAAUUGAUUUACUUUUUUUAUUGAUUAUUUUUAUUUUAUUUUAUUUCUCUCUACUAGAUUAUGUAUUGCAUUGAACUUCUGCUGCUAAGUUAAUAAAUUUGAUUCUGGUGGGCAGGUAAGGAGAUGAGAUGAGACAGGGAAAAAGGAAUGGGGACUGGUAAGGGAGAGGGGACAGAAUAUUUGUCUUCCAUUUCAGGUCCAAUCCACCUCUUCUGUACAGGACCCACCUUUCCCGGAAAAGAGCCCAAUGAUCCAAAAACCUGACACUGUCCCUCCUACACCGACUCCUUAACCACGGGUUAAAUUGUAAAUCUUCCUGUUUUGGGUGUCACUAGCGCAUGGCAUGGGUAGCAAUCCUGGUGGAAAUGUUCUUGAACUUAGCACCCAAUUCCCUGAGCUCACUGUGCAGAACUUUGUCAUUCAUCCUACCCAUGUUAUUAGCAUCUACAUAAACCAUGACCUGUGGCUGCUCACCCUCCCAUAUAAGAAUGCUGAGGACUUAAUGUACCUGGCACCUGGGAGGGCAUCAUAUCAUCCAGGAAUCUUGUUCUCAUCCACAGAAUCUCCUUUCUGUUGCUCUGACUAAUGAAUGCCCUAUCACCUUCCCUUCUGAAUUACAGAGUCAGACAUGGAGACUUGACCACUGUGAAUUUCCUGCUGUCAUUGCCCCCACCCCCACUGCCUCCAACAGUAGCCUGUUAUUAAAGGAGAUAGCCACAGGUGGACUCCUUAGCCCCUUUUCCCCUUCCUGACUGUCACCCAGUUUUCUGUGUCCUCCACCUUGGGUUAACCUACAUGUCUUCAUGUCCUGUCUAUCACUCCCACAAACUCCAGAAUGAUCCAAAGUCCAUCCAGUUCUGGCUCCAACUCCUUGACGCAGAUUCUUAGAAGUGGCUGGAUUCACUUUCACAGCUGAAGUUACCAGGGACACUGGAAGUCUCCUUGCUUUCCCACAUCCUGCAAAAGGAGCAUUCAACUAUCCUGCCUGGCAUCUCUACUAUUCUCACUGAGCAAAUAUACAGAAGGAAAAACAAAAAAUAAACUGUGGGUGGAGUCUACCUACAGCUGUUGACUUUCUCUUGCUGAACCCUUGAAAACCUAACACUGGUCAAGUUGUGAUUUCUUUUAAUAUGCGGUGAAAUAAAAACUGUUCUUGGAGUCUUUUACUCCCUUCCUAUCUGUGCCUAUGUCUUUCAGUUCUCAUGUUCCACAUAUUCCUUGUAAUGUAGAAAGAGGGUAUUCGGUCCAUUGAGAUUAUUGCAGCUCUUAAAUGGAUGCCACAGUAGUGUAACGGUUAGUGCGAUGAUAUUACAGCUGGGACAUUCUGCAGUUCAGAGUUCAAUUCUGGUGUUGCCUGUUUUCCCAGUGAACCAUGUGGGUUUCCUCCAGGUGUCCAACUUUCCUCCCACAGCUAGAAACACGGAAAUCCUACUGUACAAUACAGGCCCUUCAGACCACAAAGCUAUGCUAAACACAUCCUUAUCUUGGGUUAACCAUAGCCCUCUAUUUCUAAGCUCCUUUUACCUAUCCAGGAGUCUCUUAAAACCCUAUCGUAUCCAUCUCCUCCACCGUCGCCAGCAGCCCAUUCCACGCAAGCACCUUAAACUGUGCCCUCUCAUGCUAGCCAUUUCAGCCCUUAGAAAAAGCCUCUGACUAUCCACACAAUCAAUGCCUUUCAUCAUCUUAUACACCUCUAUCAGGUCACCUCUCAGCCUACAUCGCUCCAGAGAGAAAAGGCUGAGCUCACUCAACCUAUUCUCAUAAGGCAUGCUCCUCAAUCCAGGCAACAUCCUUGUAAAUCUCCUCUGCACCCUUUCUAUGGCUUCCACAUCCUUCCUGCAGUGAGGCAACCAGAACUGAGCACAGUACUCCAUGUGGGGUCUGACCAGGGUCCUACGUAGCUGCAACUUUACCUCUCGGCUCCUAAACUCAAUCCCACGAUUCAUGAAGGCCAAUGCACCAUAUGCUACCUUAACCACAGAGUCAACCUACACAACAGCUUUGAGUGUCCUAUGGACUCGGACCCCAAGAACCCUCUGAUCUUCCACACUGCUAAGAGUCUUACCAUUAAUACUAUAUUCUGCCAUCAUAUUUGACCUACCAAAAUGAACCACCUCACACUUAAUUAGAUUUAACUCCAUCUGCCACUUCUCAGCCCAUUUUUGCAUCCUGUUGAUGUCCCACUGUAACCUCUGAUAGCCCUCCACACUAUCCACAACACCUCCAACCUUUGUGUCAUCAGCAGACUUAAUAACACAUCCCUCCACUUACUCAUCCAGGUCAUUUAUAAAAAUCACAAAGAGUAAGGGUCCCAGAACAGAUCCCUGAGGCACACUACUGGUCACCAACCUCCAUGCAGAAUAUGACCUGUCUACAACCACUCUGCCUUCUGUGGGCAAGCCAAUUCUGGAUCCAUGAAGCAAUGUCCCCUUGGAUCCUAUGCCUCCUUACUUUCUCAGUAAGCCUUUCAUGGGGUACCUUGUCAAAUUCCUUGCUGAAAUCCAUAUACACUACAUCUACUGCUCUACCUACAUGAAUGUGUUUAGUCACAUCCUCAAAAAAUUCAAUUAGGCUCAUAAGGCAUGACCUGCCUUUGACAAAGCCAUGCUGUCUAUUCCUAAUCAUGUUAUGCCUCUCCAAAUGUUCAUAAGUCCAGCCUCCCAGGAUCUUUUCCAUCAUCUUACCAACCAAUGAAGUAAGACUCGUCUAUAAUUUCCUGGGCUAUCUCUACUCCUUUCUUGAAUAAGGGAACAACAUCCACAGCCCUCCAAUCCUCCGGAACCUCUCCCGUCCCCAUUGAUGAUGCAAAGAUUAUCUCUAGAGGCUCAGCAAUCUCCUCUCUUGCCUCCCACAGUAGCCUGGGGUUCCUCUUGUCCAAUCCCGGUGACUUAUCCAACUUGAUGCUUUCCAAAACCUCCUGCACAUCCUCUUUCUUAAUAUCUAUAUGCUCAAGCUUUUCAGUCCACUGUAAGUCAUCCCUACAAUCGCCAAGAUCCUUUUCAGUAAUGAAUAUUGAAGCAAGGUAUUCAUUAAGUACCUCUGCUAUCUCCUCCGGUUCCAUACACACUUUCCCACUGUCACAAUUGACUGGUCCUAUUCUCGCACAUCUUAUCCUCUUGGUCAUCACAUACUUGUAGAAUGCUUUGGGGUUUUCCUUAAUCCUGUUCACCAUGGCCCAGAGUGAAGUGUCUUACCAUUGAUUUGUUCUGUGAUUAGUCCAGUGUUAAAUAGGUGGGUUGCUGUAUGGUGCGGUUUGUUGGAUCAGAAGAGCCUAUUCCAUACUGUAUUUCUAAAUAAAGAAAUAAAUAGUUCUUUUGCAUUAAUCUGCAUAUUUCCCAGUAACCUGUUCUACCUCAUGUCUUUUUAUAAAGCUACUUAAGUCACAGCUAUAAUGCAGUCUGGUUCUGUAUCCAUACUUUGGGAAGAAUUUAAAGGCCCUUGUGCGGGUGCAGAAAAACUUGCCAAGAUUGGUUUUAGAAUGAAUGAGAUUGGUUGCAAGGUUAAAUUGGGGAAACUCAAGUUUUUUCUCUUUGGAGUAAAGGACUUACUUGAUACAUUUUAGGAAUAGUUUCUAUCCCUCUGCCAUCAGAUUCCAUAAACUCUUGAACACCACCUCACUAUUCCUCUUUUGCCAUACUAUUUGUUAUAGCAAUUUGUUUUGCUGCACUGUGCUCCUGUAUACCUUAUGUGAGUGACAAGAACCCUGAUUCUGAGUCUGCUGCUAGAUAAGAUACACAAGACAACUGUUCAUGUUGAUGCAAGAUGAAGGGAUGUAGGUUAAAAAUUUGGUGUAAGGUUGAAAGCUAUGCAGAGAGUAUUCCCAUCUUGACCUUCCUGCCACCCAUCAAUGCUAGAAGUGAUUAGAAUAACCACCAGCACAUCUUUAGGACAUAGAGUGGAAAUCCAGUCACAGGGGAAGUGUACCAAAUCCUCACAGGUCAAGGUCAGGAUUCAACUUGAGUUACUGGAGAUAUGCAGAAUCAGCACUAACUGCUGUGUCAUAUGUUGCAGUAUCCAGCCUUUUCUGACAAUGGACCUUUUUGUGCUUGGGAUAUUUGGUGGUUUGUUGUUUAACAUCUUUCUGUUGACAUUUUGAACAAGGCUACUUUUGGAGUGAAUUUACAUAUACAUGUUGUGGCCAGAAGGGUCUACUCCAGGCUGUAUCUCAAUAAAUAAAGAUGCAAUGCACUGAAUGGCUUCCUGUCUCUCCCCACCUCAGUUCCCUCCACUGCAACCCUUUUAUGUUUUUUUUAAUGGGACUUUUGAAUUAUUUUAAUCUAAGUGAUAUGUAGUUAUAUGUUUAUAGUACUUCAGCCUGGGUGGUGAAAUCUGGGCUUGGAGCAAGUUGCUGGAUGGAGUGGUCUAGGCCCAGACCAUCUUGCUGCAGCUGGGUCCUCCGAUGAGGUACGAUACAUUGCUUAGACACUUUAAACUCCAGCACAGAUCAGAUGUGAGAGCCAAUUUCGCUCACUCUCCACGAUCUUCACUCCUCUCUCCAGGGUGCCAGAUCCUUUCGCUGUUCCAUUGGUCAAUUUAAGUGCUGGCCUAGAUAGACUGAGAAGACACAUUUCAGGAUCUGAGGUCUAGUCAAAGGUGGUGAUGAAUCGGUGUAUAGGAGGGAAAUUGACAACCUAGCUGUAUGGUGCCACAACAACAACCUCUCACACAACGUUAGCAAGAUCAAGGAACUGAUUAUUGACUUCAGGAGGAGCAAACCAAAGAUCCAUGAGCUAAGCUUCAUCAGAGAAUCAGAGGUGGAGAGUAUUGGCAACUUAAAUUCCUCGGUGUUAUCAUUUCAGAGGACCAGUCCAUGCUGGUCCCAGCACAUAGUGCAACUAUGAAGAAAGCAUGACAGCAUCUCUACUUUCUUAGAGGUUUGUAAAUAUUUGGCAUGGUCUAAAACUUUGACAAACUUCUAUAGAUAUGUGGUGGAGAGAAUAUCAACCAGUUGCAUCAUGGCCUGGUAUGGAAACAGUAAUGCCCUUGAAUGCAUAAUCCUAUGAAAAGUAGUGGGUACGGCCAAAUCCAUCAUGGGUAAAGCCCUCCCCACCAUUGAGCACAUCUACACAGAGCAUUGUUGCAGGAAAGCGCAUCUAUCUUCUGAGGCCCCCAUCACCCUGGUCAUGAUCUUCUCACUGCUGCCAUUAGGAAGAAGGUACAGGUGCCUCAGGACUCACACCACCAGGUUCAAUAACAGUUAUUACCUGAUAAACAUCAAGCUUUGGAACAUAACUUCACUCAACUUUGCUUGACCCAUUGCUGAAGAGUUCCCACACCUAUGAACUCACUCACAAGGGCCGAUGAUGUCAUAUUCUCAAUAUUUAUUGCUUAUCUAUUAUUAUGAUGUUUCUUUUCUUUUGUAUUUGCACAGCUUGUUGUCUUUUACACAAUAGUUAUUUGUCCAGCUGAUGCAGAAUUUCAAUGAUUCUAUUAGGGUUAUUAGAUUUAUUGAGUAUGCCUACAAGGAAAUGAAUCUCAGGGUUGUAGGUGCUAACAUCUAUGUACUUUGAACUUCGAGUAUUUUUUUGAUGAAGGAACAAACUGUAUUGUACUUUGUGUAUUAUAGCAUUGCUUUUGUAUUUACUGUGUUCUUUUUGUGCUUAUUGUGUUUUUAUGCUGUGUUGCAUGCAAGUAACAAUUAUUUCUUUCUCCUUCUCCUUUACACAUGUACUGAAGAAUGACAAUGAACUAUUUUGAAUCUUGAAAAAUGUAUUGAUGAGAGUGGUGUGCUUUAAUGUAGUUGGCGUAGAUUUCAGUAAAGCAUUUGACAAUA
Long non-coding RNA from Hypanus sabinus (Atlantic stingray), 9991 nucleotides. RefSeq lists it as uncharacterized. The record is from RefSeq and is a predicted model, not a curated record. Lineage: Eukaryota; Metazoa; Chordata; Chondrichthyes; Myliobatiformes; Dasyatidae. The transcript is spliced from 2 exons.